RNAcentral lists this ribosomal RNA (572 nucleotides) under Strongyloides ratti. RNAcentral describes it as "LSU rRNA". It matches the Rfam family "Eukaryotic large subunit ribosomal RNA", at positions 2220 to 2775 of the family's 3401-position model. The record is from RNAcentral. Lineage: Eukaryota; Metazoa; Nematoda; Chromadorea; Rhabditida; Strongyloididae.
UCAUUGGGAAACCAAUUGAAGCUCUUGUAAACGGCGGGAGUAACUAUGACUCUCUUAAGGUAGCCAAAUGCCUCGUCGGGUAAUUUCCGACGCGCACGAAUGGAUUAACGAGAUUCCUACUGUCCCUAUCUACCAUUCAGCGAAAUCACAGCCAAGGGAACGGGCUUGGCAAAAACAGCGGGGAAAGAAGACCCUGUUGAGCUUGACUCUAGCUAGGCAUUGUGAAGUGUCAUAUGAGGUGUAGCAUAGGUGGGAGUUAUUUUAUAACGAUCUUGAAAUACCACUACUUAUAUUGAUAUUUUACUUAGUUGAUUAAAUGGAAAUUUUAUAUAUUAAUUUAUAUAAUAAUUUUUGUAUUAAAUUAAUAUCUUUGAGAUAUUUAAUAAUCCACGUCAAUGACCAUGUCUGGCGGGGAGUUUGACUGGGGCGGUACAUCUAUCAAACUGUAACGUAGGUGUCCUAAGGCAAACUCAAAGAGGACAGAAACCUCUUGUAGAGUAAAAGGGCAAAAGUUUGCUUGAUCAUGAUUUUCAGUACGAAUACAGACCCUGAAAGGGUGGCCUAUCGAUCCU